GGGAUGUUGGAAGGUCGGUUGACCUGCAUGGCAUGCAGGGGGUCAGGAGUUCGAGUCUCCUUGGCUCCACUA
This 72-nucleotide transfer RNA is filed under the name Synechococcus sp. BS56D. RNAcentral's name for it is "tRNA-Ser". The record is from RNAcentral. Lineage: Bacteria; Bacillati; Cyanobacteriota; Cyanophyceae; Synechococcales; Synechococcaceae.